UACGGGAGGCAGCAGGGGAGGAAUAUUGCACAAUGGGCGAAAGCCUGAUGCAGCUAUGCCGCGUGUAUGAAGAAGGCCUUAGGGUUGUAAAGUACUUUCAUCGGGGAGGAAAAAACAAAACUAAUAAUUUUAUUUCUUGACGUUACCCGAAAAAGAAGCACCGGCUAACUCCGUGCCAGCAGCCGCGGUAAUACGGAGGGUGCUAGCGUUAAUCAGAAUUACUGGGCGUAAAGAGCACGUAGGUGGUUUUUUUAAGUCAGAUGUGAAAUCCCUGGGCUUAACCUAGGAACUGCAUUUUGAAACUGAAAUACUAGAGUAUCGUAGAGGGAGGUAGAAUUCUAGGUGUAGCGGUGAAAUGCGUAGAUAUCUGGAGGAAUACCUGUGGCGAAAGCGGCCUCCUAAACGAAUACUGACACUGAGGUGCGAAAGCGUGGGGAGCAAACAGGGAUUAGAUACC
This 457-nucleotide ribosomal RNA is filed under the name uncultured bacterium. Its description in RNAcentral is "bacterial SSU rRNA". It matches the Rfam family "Bacterial small subunit ribosomal RNA", at positions 340 to 786 of the family's 1533-position model. The record is from RNAcentral.